Molecule: ribosomal RNA, 877 nt
Filed under: Salmonella enterica
Lineage: Bacteria; Pseudomonadati; Pseudomonadota; Gammaproteobacteria; Enterobacterales; Enterobacteriaceae
Description: partial 23S ribosomal RNA
Rfam family: Bacterial large subunit ribosomal RNA
Source: RNAcentral
CCCCGUACACAAAAGCGCAUGUGCUGUGAGCUCGAUGAGUAGGGCGGGACACGUGGUAUCCUGUCUGAAUAUGGGGGGACCAUCCUCCAAGGCUAAAUACUCCUGACUGACCGAUAGUGAACCAGUACCGUGAGGGAAAGGCGAAAAGAACCCCGGCGAGGGGAGUGAAAAAGAACCUGAAACCGUGUACGUACAAGCAGUGGGAGCACCCUUUGGGGUGUGACUGCGUACCUUUUGUAUAAUGGGUCAGCGACUUAUAUUCUGUAGCAAGGUUAACCGAAUAGGGGAGCCGGAGGGAAACCGAGUCUUAAUUGGGCGUUAAGUUGCAGGGUAUAGACCCGAAACCCGGUGAUCUAGCCAUGGGCAGGUUGAAGGUUGGGUAACACUAACUGGAGGACCGAACCGACUAAUGUUGAAAAAUUAGCGGAUGACCUGUGGCUGGGGGUGAAAGGCCAAUCAAACCGGGAGAUAGCUGGUUCUCCCCGAAAGCUAUUUAGGUAGCGCCUCGUGAAUUCAUCUCCGGGGGUAGAGCACUGUUUCGGCUAGGGGGCCAUCCCGGCUUACCAACCCGAUGCAAACUGCGAAUACCGGAGAAUGUUAUCACGGGAGACACACGGCGGGUGCUAACGUCCGUCGUGAAGAGGGAAACAACCCAGACCGCCAGCUAAGGUCCCAAAGUCAUGGUUAAGUGGGAAACGAUGUGGGAAGGCCCAGACAGCCAGGAUGUUGGCUUAGAAGCAGCCAUCAUUUAAAGAAAGCGUAAUAGCUCACUGGUCGAGUCGGCCUGCGCGGAAGAUGUAACGGGGCUAAACCAUGCACCGAAGCUGCGGCAGCGACGCUGAUGCGUUGUUGGGUAGGGGAGCGUUCUGUAAGCCUG